This is a non-coding RNA of Daucus carota subsp. sativus, 106 nucleotides long. The record is from Rfam. NCBI's taxonomy places the organism in Eukaryota, Viridiplantae, Streptophyta, Magnoliopsida, Apiales, Apiaceae.
AUGGAAAUGAUGAGUAUUUCCCCAGAUGAUCGAAGUUGAAAUUACUGAGCGCUAUAUAUUGAUUUUUUUCUAUUUGAGAAAAAUCCAAGCCAGAUCUCUGAUCCAU